GUUCACUUCCUAUAAGAAAAACUAAGUGAGGAGAUGGCGAUGUGUCUUCUCCACUGAUUCCCUUCACAGACUCUGCAUGGAUUACUAUGCUGGGAGAGGUUUUCAGAAUGCUGAAGAUGCUUCUUGAAACCUAUUUUUAUGAUCAAGUUAUUCAUCAUCUCCCCUACUAUCACCUUCUGUAUUUCUUGUUAUAAAGCAGAUGUUGACUCCCCCAUAAUCUGCAAAAGGAG
Molecule: long non-coding RNA, 230 nt
Organism: Stegostoma tigrinum
Lineage: Eukaryota; Metazoa; Chordata; Chondrichthyes; Orectolobiformes; Stegostomatidae
Exons: 3
Source: RefSeq, a predicted model, not a curated record